GAAGAGACGAAGACCAGACAUUUUGUGUUUGGACUUUUAAACCUAUAGUGUGUGGUUUCUGUCGAAUUCUAAGUAAUGACAACAACACAACGAUGACGCAAGCCUUCGGUGAUCGCGCUGAUUUGCGCACAACCUCCACCCCUCCUCCAUGCAGUUGUUAGUAGCAUUUAUGCCGUCAAAUCAAGGAGGACACAUGGAAUCUUUGGAAGAGCUCAGGGUCUCCUAUAGCCUUCUGACAUCCUGCAUUAAUUCCAGAUGAAGUGAGAAGUAGUGAUGGAGAUUUCCCCCAUGGCGAGAUGGAGAUGCUGUGAUUAACACCAGAGAGAUGCUCCAGGAAAAUGCCAGAUUGAGUUUUCAGCCUGAGUGCAUGGGAUGUGCACAGUGCAACCAUCAGUGUCAGCAGAGUACAGUACCUGAAGCAGCCCUGACAGGCUGAAGAGAUGGGAGAUGGGAAGAGGAAUCAACCUGCGGUCCAGUCAGUCCGCAAACAUCAACUGCCUGCACAUAAGACAUUAAAAUAUCAAUAUUUCUUAUCAUUAUUGCCAAACACUGGUCAUUCUUGCUCUAACGGCAUUAUUGCAGCUACCUGUGCUCUCCACCGCUGAGCAGACUGACCAUUCAGAAGCUGGAUUCAUGGUCUUCUUCACUGAAAUGCAGCUACAGUGUUCACACAGUGAUAUUCCUUUUCCAAAUGCCAGUGGGCCUGCAUGUUUGUGGUUUGGCCCAGCAGCUUUGUUGCCGCUUCUUGUUCAUUUUCAGUUUUAGCCUACAAAUCUGUUGUUGUUUCCGUUCAAAGAACAUUAGCUAACAGUAUUGGCAGAGACACAUCCUUACUGAAAUGCAAGAUGCUGCUUCUUAGUGCAGCUUUUUGAGAAUGAGAUUUUUUGGCAGCGUGUGAUACCUUUUAUUAAUAUGAAGCAUACAACGUAUGAUUGCACAUGAACAUGCAUGUCGUUAAAAAAAAAAAAAAGACUCCAUUAAAAUGGUAAUUAGGUCAUCGAUCCAUCUUUCACAUGAAUGUUUGGUUUUCAUUCGUGGACAGAAAUAAUAAAUUUUGCUUUUUGCAUUUCAUCUGCUUUACAGCGAGUGUAUCAUAGGCAAGAAAAUGUAUGAAAAGACAAUGACAACAACUGAACUAACUGCCAUACAGAAUAUGCAAUUUUGCAAUUGUCUGGUUCUUCAAACAGAAAAUUCACACAAGACCGAAAGAAAAAGAUUGCAGAGUCCAGUAUCUCUUCACUCUUCUUGAGUUAUGUUCUUGUCUGUCUGUCUGCUAAUCGAGAGGACAUAACUGAGCUUUUUCCUCAGGUUUCCUAUCCCAGUCUUGCUUGUGGAAAAAGCACACUUAAGCAUUUUUUGCUCCUCCCCAUUAAAACCUGU
Perca flavescens (yellow perch) is the source of this 1380-nucleotide long non-coding RNA. RefSeq lists it as uncharacterized. Lineage: Eukaryota; Metazoa; Chordata; Actinopteri; Perciformes; Percidae. The transcript is spliced from 3 exons. The record is from RefSeq and is a predicted model, not a curated record.